This 832-nucleotide ribosomal RNA is filed under the name uncultured bacterium. RNAcentral describes it as "bacterial SSU rRNA". It matches the Rfam family "Bacterial small subunit ribosomal RNA", at positions 10 to 851 of the family's 1533-position model. The record is from RNAcentral.
AGUUUGAUCCUGGCUCAGGACGAACGCUGGCGGCGUGCUUAACACAUGCAAGUCGAACGGAAAGGCCCUGCUUUUGUGGGGUGCUCGAGUGGCGAACGGGUGAGUAACACGUGAGUAACCUGCCCUUGACUUUGGGAUAACUUCAGGAAACUGGGGCUAAUACCGGAUAGGAGCUCCUGCUGCAUGGUGGGGGUUGGAAAGUUUCGGCGGUUGGGGACGGACUCGCGGCUUAUCAGCUUGUUGGUGGGGUAGUGGCUUACCAAGGCUUUGACGGGUAGCCGGCCUGAGAGGGUGACCGGCCACAUUGGGACUGAGAUACGGCCCAGACUCCUACGGGAGGCAGCAGUGGGGAAUAUUGCACAAUGGGCGGAAGCCUGAUGCAGCAACGCCGCGUGCGGGAUGACGGCCUUCGGGUUGUAAACCGCUUUCGCCUGUGACGAAGCGUGAGUGACGGUAAUGGGUAAAGAAGCACCGGCUAACUACGUGCCAGCAGCCGCGGUGAUACGUAGGGUGCGAGCGUUGUCCGGAUUUAUUGGGCGUAAAGGGCUCGUAGGUGGUUGAUCGCGUCGGAAGUGUAAUCUUGGGGCUUAACCCUGAGCGUGCUUUCGAUACGGGUUGACUUGAGGAAGGUAGGGGAGAAUGGAAUUCCUGGUGGAGCGGUGGAAUGCGCAGAUAUCAGGAGGAACACCAGUGGCGAAGGCGGUUCUCUGGGCCUUUCCUGACGCUGAGGAGCGAAAGCGUGGGGAGCGAACAGGCUUAGAUACCCUGGUAGUCCACGCUGUAAACGGUGGGUACUAGGUGUGGGGUCCAUUCCACGGGUUCCGUGCCGUAG